UGGCUGUCAAUGUCAAGAUACUAGGUGAAGACGUGUCAUAGGUGUAGAACGCUUGCUCAAACCGGUGGCAGGAGCGAGGGGUCACUUUGUACACACCAGGCUUGGACAGGCAGAAUCGGUUGACUCCUUUGGAGAGGUUAUAAAUCCCCACAUUCUCACGCCCAUUUCCAUCCUGAUAAAAUUCCAGAGUGAUGGCGUGAGACAGGGAACAUCUCAGCAUGUAGCCCGUCUGCCUGAACUCAACUGCAG
Molecule: unclassified non-coding RNA, 249 nt
Filed under: Hevea brasiliensis (rubber tree)
Lineage: Eukaryota; Viridiplantae; Streptophyta; Magnoliopsida; Malpighiales; Euphorbiaceae
Source: RNAcentral